This 87-nucleotide unclassified non-coding RNA is filed under the name Pseudomonas fluorescens. The record is from RNAcentral. Lineage: Bacteria; Pseudomonadati; Pseudomonadota; Gammaproteobacteria; Pseudomonadales; Pseudomonadaceae.
GCUGGGAGCUGGCUUGCCUGCGAUGCAGACACCUCGGUCUGUCAGUUAAGCCGAGUGGAUGCCAUCGCAGGCAAGCCAGCUCCCACA